RNAcentral lists this ribosomal RNA (486 nucleotides) under uncultured Gammaproteobacteria bacterium. RNAcentral describes it as "bacterial SSU rRNA". It matches the Rfam family "Bacterial small subunit ribosomal RNA", at positions 9 to 490 of the family's 1533-position model. The record is from RNAcentral. Lineage: Bacteria; Pseudomonadati; Pseudomonadota; Gammaproteobacteria.
GAGUUUGAUCGUGGCUCAGAUUGAACGCUGGCGGCAGGCCUAACACAUGCAAGUCGAGCGGAUGAAGAGAGCUUGCUCUCUGAUUCAGCGGCGGACGGGUGAGUAAUGCCUAGGAAUCUGCCUGGUAGUGGGGGACAACGUUUCGAAAGGAACGCUAAUACCGCAUACGUCCUACGGGAGAAAGCAGGGGACCUUCGGGCCUUGCGCUAUCAGAUGAGCCUAGGUCGGAUUAGCUAGUAGGUGAGGUAAUGGCUCACCUAGGCGACGAUCCGUAACUGGUCUGAGAGGAUGAUCAGUCACACUGGAACUGAGACACGGUCCAGACUCCUACGGGAGGCAGCAGUGGGGAAUAUUGGACAAUGGGCGAAAGCCUGAUCCAGCCAUGCCGCGUGUGUGAAGAAGGUCUUCGGAUUGUAAAGCACUUUAAGUUGGGAGGAAGGACAGUAAGUUAAUACCUUGCUGUUUUGACGUUACCAACAGAAUAAG